This 440-nucleotide ribosomal RNA is filed under the name uncultured bacterium. RNAcentral describes it as "bacterial SSU rRNA". It matches the Rfam family "Bacterial small subunit ribosomal RNA", at positions 28 to 507 of the family's 1533-position model. The record is from RNAcentral.
GAUGAACGCUGGCGGUAUGCCUAACACAUGCAAGUCGUACGAGAGUUUUUAACUCUAGUGGCGGACGGGUGAGUAACACGUGAGAAUUUGCCUUUAGGAGGGGGAUAACAAUUGGAAACGAAUGCUAAUACCCCAUAUGCUUUUGAGUGAAACGGAUUUAUCCGCCUAGAGAGAAGCUCGCGGCUGAUUAGCUUGUUGGUAAGGUAAGAGCUUACCAAGGCGACGAUCAGUAUCUGGUUUGAGAGGACGAUCAGACACACUGGAACUGAGACACGGUCCAGACUCCUACGGGAGGCAGCAGUGGGGAAUUUUCCGCAAUGGGCGAAAGCCUGACGGAGCAAUACCGCGUGAGGGAAGAAUGCCUAUGGGUUGUAAACCUCUUUUUUCAGGGAGGAAUAAAAUGACGUGUACCUGAAGAAUAAGCAUCGGCUAACUCCGUG